Non-coding RNA from Triticum aestivum (bread wheat), 137 nucleotides. The record is from Rfam. NCBI's taxonomy places the organism in Eukaryota, Viridiplantae, Streptophyta, Magnoliopsida, Poales, Poaceae.
CAAGUACUCCCUCCGUUCGAAAAUACUUAUCAUCAAAAAUGGACAAAAAUGGAUGUAUCUAAAAUAAAAAAUACAUCUAGAUACAUCUCAUUUUAUUCAUUUUGAUGACAAUUAUUUCUAAAGGGAGGGAGUAAUUC